RNAcentral lists this long non-coding RNA (873 nucleotides) under Mus musculus (house mouse). Its description in RNAcentral is "long non-coding RNA chr13:43309500-43310373". Lineage: Eukaryota; Metazoa; Chordata; Mammalia; Rodentia; Muridae. The record is from RNAcentral.
UGGAAUUCAAGCUGUGGGUGGGAAUGCUAGAAUGCUAGAAGUGGUACCACAGGUCUACUGAGCACUUUGCAAACUCGGUCCUGAGGCUGAGUGCUAAACUGUCUUUAACUUUAACUUUCAACUCUUUAAUUUUUCCUCUCCAAUAUGGCUGUCACAUAAAAAGUACUGGCGCCCUAUGUGGGACACUAAGUUCGUCCGGCAGAACGUGUGACUCUUCCUGGCUCCCUCAGGCAGACACAGCUCUCUCCACCAUUCCACCUAAGAAAUUGAUUUUGAGAUUUGAGUAACUUGGGGCUGGCAAUGUAGUUGCCAGCUUGCCUAACAUGCAGGAAGCCUUGGAUUCAGUUCCCAGUGCUGACUAAAGGCAGGAAAGGUAGCAACACACACACCUGUGAUCCCCUGUCCCUUAGCAGGAAGACCAGGAGUUCAAGUUCAUCCUCAUUCUUGGAUAUGUAGUGAGUUGAAGGCUAACUUGGACUACAUGAGAACACACAUACCACACACCACACAUACACAUAUACUCAAACCAAUAUAUACAAAUACAUUCAUACAAAUAUACACAAAUGCACACACACACACACACACACACACACACACACACACACACACAAUUAGACUUUAGUCUCUUGAUUCCAUAGUCAGGAAGUAUGCAGCCCAUGACUACACCAGACACUAAGCCCCUACUGUGAACCUCCUCACCCUAGUUCCCCACCUGGCAUUCCAUUCCCAAGAGAAGGGAAUCACACUUAAUUCUCCUGAAGAGAGUCACACGAACAGCUAUCUAAGUCAGGAAAAGAUCUCUCCUGCUGCUGUUCUUUGUGGACAGGAGCUUGGGUAGUGGCCAUCUGGUCUACCCUGGACUUCUCAUAGAAU